UCGACUAAGGUUCGACUCGAGCGAAGCGAGAGAACGUUGCCGCAGGCAACGGCCCGAAGGGCGAGGCGCUUUAGCGCCGAGUAAUCCUUCCCCCACCACCA
Molecule: small RNA, 101 nt
Filed under: Klebsiella pneumoniae
Lineage: Bacteria; Pseudomonadati; Pseudomonadota; Gammaproteobacteria; Enterobacterales; Enterobacteriaceae
Also listed under: 2 other names
Description: RtT sRNA
Rfam family: RtT RNA
About the family: This family represents a bacterial cis-regulatory element known as RtT RNA. The exact function of RtT is unknown although it is thought that it may be involved in changing the cellular response in relation to amino acid starvation.
Source: RNAcentral